ACGAACGCUGGCGGCGUGCCUAAUACAUGCAAGUAGAACGCACAGUUUAUACCGUAGCUUGCUACACCAUAGACUGUGAGUUGCGAACGGGUGAGUAACGCGUAGGUAACCUGCCUGGUAGCGGGGGAUAACUAUUGGAAACGAUAGCUAAUACCGCAUAAUAUUAAUUAUUGCAUGAUAAUUAAUUGAAAGGUGCAAUUGCACCACUACCAGAUGGACCUGCGUUGUAUUAGCUAGUAGGUGAGGUAACGGCUCACCUAGGCGACGAUACAUAGCCGACCUGAGAGGGUGAUCGGCCACACUGGGACGGAGACACGGCCCAGACUCCUACGGGAGGCAGCAGUAGGGAAUCUUCGGCAAUGGACGAAAGUCUGACCGAGCAACGCCGCGUGAGUGAAGAAGGUUUUCGGAUCGUAAAGCUCUGUUGUAAGAGAAGAACGGGUGUGAGAGUGGAAAGUGCACACUGUGACGGUAUCUUACCAGAAAGGGACGGCUAACUACGUG
Molecule: ribosomal RNA, 504 nt
Filed under: uncultured bacterium
Lineage: Bacteria
Description: partial 16S ribosomal RNA
Rfam family: Bacterial small subunit ribosomal RNA
Source: RNAcentral